Molecule: non-coding RNA, 58 nt
Filed under: unclassified sequences
Description: pemK RNA
Rfam family: pemK RNA
Source: RNAcentral
UUAAAGAUACUUCUCUACGGAGCUGGCGGGGAACCCGGCAGAGGUUAGAUUCCUAUGG